UACGAAGGGGGCGAGCGUUGUUCGGAUUUACUGGGCGUAAAGGGCGCGCAGGCGGCACAUUUUGUCAGGCGUGAAAGCCCCGGGCUUAACCUGGGAACUGCGUUUGAUACGGAUGGGCUAGAGUUCGGGAGAGGAGAGUGGAAUUCCCAGUGUAGAGGUGAAAUUCGUAGAUAUUGGGAAGAACACCGGUGGCGAAGGCGGCUCUCUGGACAGUUCCUGACACUGAGACACGAAGGCCAGGGGAGCAAACGGG
Molecule: ribosomal RNA, 253 nt
Filed under: uncultured bacterium
Lineage: Bacteria
Description: partial 16S ribosomal RNA
Rfam family: Bacterial small subunit ribosomal RNA
Source: RNAcentral